RNAcentral lists this long non-coding RNA (319 nucleotides) under Homo sapiens (human). RNAcentral's name for it is "HSALNT0061703". Lineage: Eukaryota; Metazoa; Chordata; Mammalia; Primates; Hominidae. The record is from RNAcentral.
UAAUAAUGAGGGCGUAGCCUGUAUGACCUAAACACUUCCCCAAGAAACAAAUUGCUUAACACUGUUACAGUUUGGCAGACACAGUGAAACCAUAGCAAUAAAAGAAGUAUUUCUUCCGACAAGUCAUUUCAUAGCUACAACGUGGAAACUAAGAGUUUCCUUCUAUUUUAUUUUCUGUAGCCUGAGGACUAGCGUGGAGAAGGUUUAGCCUUUAGGAGGUCGUGGUUGCUGCUGCUACUUCUGUUAAAUGUUCCAGGACUUACUCCAUUUGGCUCCAGGACCGUACCUGCCCUUCUAAGGACAGCUUUGCUUCAGUGAC